UACGGAGGAUGCAAGCGUUAUCCGGAAUGAUUGGCGUAAAGCGUUUUAAGGUGGUUUGGUAAGUCUACUGUUAAAUAUCAGGGCUUAACCCUGAACAGGCAGUGGAAACUAGCAAGCUUGAGUACGGUAGGGCAAAGGGAAUUCCCGGUGUAGCGGUGAAUGCGUAGAUAUCGGGAAGAACACCAAAGGCGAAAGCACUUGCUGGCCGAACUGACACUGAUAGACGAAAGCUAGGCAGCAAUGGAUUAGGAUACCGGUCAGUCC
RNAcentral lists this ribosomal RNA (264 nucleotides) under uncultured bacterium. RNAcentral's name for it is "partial 16S ribosomal RNA". It matches the Rfam family "Bacterial small subunit ribosomal RNA", at positions 524 to 796 of the family's 1533-position model. The record is from RNAcentral.